GUGCUUGCUUCGUCAGCACAUAUACUAACUAAAAUUGGAACUAUACAGAGAAGAUUAGCAUGGCCUCAGUGCAAGGAUGACAUGCAAAUUCAUGAAGUGUUCCAUAAAAAA
Mustela putorius furo (domestic ferret) is the source of this 111-nucleotide small nuclear RNA. NCBI's taxonomy places the organism in Eukaryota, Metazoa, Chordata, Mammalia, Carnivora, Mustelidae. The record is from Ensembl.